RNAcentral lists this ribosomal RNA (443 nucleotides) under uncultured bacterium. RNAcentral's name for it is "partial 16S ribosomal RNA". It matches the Rfam family "Bacterial small subunit ribosomal RNA", at positions 338 to 795 of the family's 1533-position model. The record is from RNAcentral.
CCUACGGGAUGCAGCAGUGGGGGAUAUUGGACAAUGGGGGGAACCCUGAUCCAGCGACGCCGCGUGAGUGAAGAAGUAUUUCGGUAUGUAAAGCUCUGUCAGCAGGGAAGAAAGAAAUGACGGUACCUGACCAAGAAGCCCCGGCUAACUACGUGCGAGCAGCCGCGGUACUACGGAGGGGGCAGGCGUUAUCCGGAAUUACUGGGUGUAAAGGGAGCGUAGACGGUGAAGUAAGUCGGGGGUGAAAGGCCGGGGCCCAACCCCGGGAUUGCACUGGAAACUAGUGGACGUGAGUGCAUGAGAGGUAAGCGGAAUUCCUAGUGUAGCGGUGAAAUGCGUAGAGAUGAGGAGGAAUACCAGGGGCGAAGGCGGCUUAUUGGACUGUAACUGACGUUGAGGCUCGAAAGCGUGGGGAGCAAACAGGAUUAGAUACCCUUGUAGUC